GGUGGCAUUUUAUUUUAUUAGAGGAACUUGUCUUUUAAUCGACAAUCCACGAUAUUACUCACUUCAUAUAAAAGCUUAUAUAUCGUCAUAAUAAGAAUUUAUUUAAAAAUUACAUUCUCAAUAAAACUCUAAUAUUUUAGAUCAAGAUGUAGCCUAUUAUUUAGCUAAGAUGAGUUACAUUAAAUACAAUUUAAGGAAAUUUAUAUAUUAAUAUAAAUUAAAAAAGGAUUUAAAAGUAAUAAACAAAUAUUAAUUCUAUAUGAAUCUUUAAAGAUGUGUACACAUCGCCCGUCGCUCUU
This 299-nucleotide ribosomal RNA is filed under the name Oecobius cellariorum. RNAcentral's name for it is "partial 12S ribosomal RNA". Lineage: Eukaryota; Metazoa; Arthropoda; Arachnida; Araneae; Oecobiidae. The record is from RNAcentral.